GAGGGCUUGGCCGAGUGGUUAAGGCGUCAGAUUUAGGUUUCAAUUUCUCAGGAAAUUAGAAAAUACUCUGAUAUCUACGGAUGCGCGAGUUCGAAUCUCGUGGUCCUCA
This is a transfer RNA of 109 nucleotides. It matches the Rfam family "tRNA". From Rfam's summary of the family: Transfer RNA (tRNA) molecules are approximately 80 nucleotides in length. Their secondary structure includes four short double-helical elements and three loops (D, anti-codon, and T loops). The record is from Rfam.